UUUUUUUUUUUUUUUUGUUAAUGGGUCACUUAACGUUGGUGAUCUAAUAGAUAUUCAAUUUUUAAAAUGUUGAGGCCAACUUAAAAUUAUCCUAAACUACAAAAAAAAAAAAAAAAAAAAAAAACCCUUAAAACUAUUCUAAAAUGUUGGGUAAUUAAACUUAACCCCAUUUUUUAAGGGAAAAAAAAAUAAAAGAGCCUCACAAAUUUUUUAUAAGGUAAAAACAUUUGAUGAACUUUUAUUAAUAAUAAUAAGGACAAAAAAGAAAGAGGUGGUGACAUUUUCUUUAGUUGAAUUUUGGUGGCAUUUUUUUAUAUACGAGUAGGUCAACUGUUUAUACAUGAUACGGUGACACGUUAUGUAUAAACAAUUGACUUGUGUAUAAAUAAUUAACCUAAUUAUUUAUAAACUGUCAUGCCAGGAAAUUUCAACUUAUUUAUGAAAGUGUCACCGCCUCCCAAACUUCAAUUUAUUUACGAAAAUGCUACCGUCAUUUUUUUUCCUUAUUACUAAUCAAUUUUCAUCCAAGUAUUUUAAUUUUUUUUUAUCAUAAGGGAUUUUCAUUAAAGCUCAUUUUUAUAAAAACAACAAUACAUUUACAUUAAGAGCGAAAGAUUUAGUCUAAAAGCCACAAUGAGUGACACAUGAUAAAUUGAUAUGUAACCUGCAGUCCAUGGGAUUCUCACUUACCUCUCACUUACGGACCAUAAUACCACCGGGUGGCAACUUUCAUCUGCAUUCACACCACUUAGUACUACAGUCUAAUAAUAUUUCUUUUUACUUGUAAAUGAGAGAUCUUAGGUUCGAUUCUCGCCAAAAGCGAAUUUGAAUGACCUUAUUGCUAGCAUAUUAUGAGACUUAGCCCACUUCCCUCUCUAGUAUAGAUAAUAUCGUGUUAAAAAUAAAAAAUAAAAAAAUAAAAAGCUUUGUACACAAUCCAGCAGCCCAGCCAACCCAAAAACCUGAAAAGAAGAAACAGAAACUUUACAAUAAGCUGGCAAGCAAGCUGAAUCUGCUGCCGAAUUUGUCUAAUCAAAUUCAUCAAAUAUGCAAUGAAACAAUUUUUAUUUCCAAAAUAUUGCAAAUUUGGUCCAACUACUGCCGGAAGUUGCAAACGUUUCUUACGUUUUUCUUCUUCUUCUUCUUCAUUGCCUUCCCACCCAAGGCACUUGGCCUCUCUCUUGCUCAAAAACCCAGCAAGCCACUCAGCCACCCAGCAAAUCCACUCUCACAUUCUCUCCUCCGGCUUAUUCCUUUGUCACAAUUUCACCUCCGCUUUUCUCCUCCUCAUCAAUACUCUCCUCCGCUGCUAUUCCUCCGGCGACUUCCCUCACGAAGCUUUCGCCUUCUACAGACAUGUCCGGCAGUAUUCUCAUUCUUUUGACUCCUUCACUUACUUCUUCCUUCUCCACGCCUCCAUUGCCUUAAACUCCGUAAUCCCAGGUGCCCAAAUCCACGCCCUGACUCACAAACUAGGUUUUCAUUUCCAUGUCUAUGUCCAAACUGCCUUGGUUAAUAUGUACGUUGCUUGUGGCUCUUUGGUACUUGCUCUCAAUGUGUUUGAUGAAAUGCCGCACAGGAAUUCUGUCACCUGGAAUGUCAUGAUAACUGGUUUGGCCAAAUGGGGUGAGCUUAAAUUAGCUCGGUCUAUGUUUGAUCAGAUGCCUGAGCCUACGGUUGUGUCCUGUACUGCUAUUAUUGAUGUGUACUCACGGAUGAAUCAGCCCCAGGAGGCUGUGGCUUUGUUUCGGAGAAUGGUUGUUGAAGAUCUUAUUGUACCCACUGGAAUUACGCUUCUGGCCAUAUUCCCAGCGGUUUCUGUUCUUGGGGAUCUUAAGAUUUGCCAAUCACUUCAUGCUUAUGGUGAGAAGAAAGGGUUUAAUGCAUCUGACAUACGUGUUGCAAAUUCCCUUUUGGACUCCUAUGCAAAGUGCGGCUGUAUAGAGAGUGCAUCAAGAUUUUUUGAGGAGAUACCUGCCCAAAGGAAGAAUUUGGUGUCAUGGACGUCCAUAAUCUCCGGUUUUGCAAUGCACGGAAUGGGGAAAGAAGCUGUCGAGAAUUUUGUAAGUAUGGAGAAAGUUGGUUUCAAACCAAAUCGAGUGACAUUCUUGAGUAUUUUCAAUGCUUGCAGUCAUGGAGGAUUAAUAGAUGAGGGGCUGAACUUCUUUGGGAAGAUGAUCGACGAGUAUGAAAUUGCAGUGGAUAUCAAACACUAUGGAUGUUUAAUAGAUAUGCUAGGGAGGGCAGGAAGAUUAGAAGAAGCAGAAAAAAUGGCUUUGGAGAUUCCUUGCAAUAUUGUUAAUGUUGUGAUUUGGAGGACGCUUUUGGGUGCUUGUAGCUUUCACGGUAAUGUGGAGAUGGGCGAGAGGGUGACGAAGAAGGUACUGGAGAUGGAGAGAGGAUAUGGAGGGGACUACGUGCUUAUGUCCAACAUCUUAGCUGGUGUUGGAAGGUAUAGUGAUGCCGAGAGAAUGAGAAGCUUGCUAGAUGAGAGGAACGCCUUCAAACUUCCAGGGCAUAGUUUGGUCUAACUGGUGUUGAAGAUGCACAACCAGGGUUGAGAGAGAUUAUAAUGCUAUGAUAGCUCCUGCCACUGUUUGUGCUUCCUCGGAGAUAUCUUGUUUAUAUGGAGCUCCUGCCGCUGCCCGUGGUCUUUCCUUCCACUCUCGUUUCAAAAUAGCCAGCCAUACUUUCCAUCGAACACUACAAUAUAGGGCUACCUGUGAGAUGGUGGGUAUUAUUAAUGUCUCAUUUUCCCUCCCCGACUUCAAAUUCUAACAAAAUCAAAGAAAUAUCAUAUUUGUUUAUUAUUACUAAACCAUGAUGCCUCAAACUCCACUCUCUAGAAAGGGCACUUUUGAAGACAUUGUAGGUAAUAUGAACUAAUGAAAGGGUGAUGUCAAGGAGAUCACAUUUUGUAAGCCACAUUUGAACCAUCUCUUUAAUAGAGAGAGUUUGAUAGUCGGUCCCACCGCUAUUAGAGAGGUGACUUACAUGUGGUUUACAAAAUGUGAUCUCCCUGGAAUUUUCCGUGAUGAAAAAAUGGCCUGCCAAAUAGAUGCUCAAUACCAAAGUUGAUAUGACUGACCAAAUCAUCAUUCAUAUAAAACGUCAUAUUAGGAGUUCAUCAUAUGUCAUCCCUAGUUUAAGCCCAUUGUUCUCGUGUUGAGUCAGGUUAGCCUGACGUGUUGUAUUUAAGAUUUAAAUUUAUAUUGUAGCUGAUCAUGUACGUGUUUUUUGGUUUGUACAAGUUGGUGAUGUAUUGUUCUCGUGUUUAGUCAGACCAGCCUGACGUGUUGUACCUAAGAUUUAAAUUUAUAUCGUAGCUGAUCAUAUACAUGUUUUUUGGUUCGUACAAGUUGGUGAUGUAUCAUAAGCAAGUAGGUUGUUGUACCAAGUUGUUUUUCUUUUCAUGUUCAUAUUUAUAAAGAUACAAAAAUUGAAUGGUUAUCGUUCCCAAAGGGUGUGUAAGUAUGAGAAAGAAAGAGGGAGGUGUGCAGAAGCGGCAGAGGUGGAGGAGAGAAAGGGACGUCUGUGUGGGAGUGAUUAGCUUUGAUCAUGCCGCCCACAACUCUUUUAGAGAGGUGGGCGUGCCUGGUUAGGUCCCGAGUUCGAAGUUUGUCGAGUCAAAUAGGGUGACUCGUCGGGAACGCACUCUCUAGAGAGAAAAUGUUACUAUAGACACUUAAGAGUAAACUAGAUAGCAAGUUAGCAACACAGGCCAAAAGUGUGAGUAUUAUUGGACCCCAUCAUAGUCUGCAACAUCUUGCUCUGAAAAGAGCUAAUUAAUCAACUAAUCAACAGAGAUAUACUCAAUAACUAAAGUGAAUCAGAAGAAAGCACAAACAUAUUUUGUUGAGAAAGUCAAUGAUUCUUUAUGAUACUUUCCCUCAUUAGCCUUCAAUCAACGUUGAUAAGGGACUUGUACCAAUUAGCUAUGUAGUAGGGAUCCUUGUAAUUAUAUAUACCUGUAUUCUUGUACAAUCAAAGUCAUUGCAUUUGAAGUAAAUUUCAGAACUUCCAAUAAGCUAAAUUUAAGAUAUUUGCUACCGAAGCCAAAAAAAAAAAAAAACCUCUAAAGUGAUCACAUUGGGUCGGGCCAGCCCUACGUGUAUCUAAAAUGUAAAUAGUUUUUGCAAAGAUUGUCUAUCGUGCUUGCAUUUUGCAAAGAUUGUCUAUCAUGCUUGCAUUCGUUAAUACGUGUUUAAUUGUAUUGCUUUGUUUAAGAGAGAGAGAGAGAGAGAGAGAGAGAGAGAGAGAGGUGUGCAGAAGUCGCAUAGGUGGGCAAGGGGAAGAUAGAAAGGGAUGUGCAUGGGAGUGACUAACUUAUUGGAGUUGGUUGAAUGUAUUUUCAGAAAUAACUUGAUCCCUUUUUUGUAUGGCCCGCAUAGAACUAUGCUAUUGAAGUGAGUAAAACUAAAGCAACCGUAAUAUUUAUAUCAUUUGUGGGUACGGCUAACUUCUCAUGAGGUAACUGCAUGAUUUUCCAAGGUAAAAGAGCUCCUUGACCAAUUCGAAACAAAAAUAAAUAGAAACAUAGUUCCAAUAAAAGGAACCCAUGGACCAUAUUCUUCUCCAAUCUGAGUUUUGCUCACGUUACGAAUGAAUUCAAGGACAUAUUCAAAGUGUUCAUGCCGCCCACAACACUUUUAGAUAGGCGGGCAUGUCGCUAGAUUCCGAGCUCGGAACGCGUCGAGUCGGGAAGGGUGACUCGUCGGAAAUGUUCUCUAGGAGAAAACGUUACCGUAGACAGCAACAAAGGCCAAAAGUAUGUGAGUAUUAAAGGACCCGAUCGUAGUUAAACAUCUUGCUCUUAAAAGAGCUAAUUAAUCAACUAAUCAACUAAUCAACAAAGAGAUAUACUCAAUAACUAAAGUGAAUCACCUUCAGAUUCAAAAAUAAAGCGUAAACAUACUUACAAUCGAAGAAAAAAGCUUCUAAAGUUAUGGCAUUAGGUCGGGCCAGCCCAACGUGUUGUACUUAAAAAUUAAAUUUGUAACUUUUGAAGGAAUUGUCUAUCGUGCUUGCAUUUGUUAACCGUGUUUAUUUAUUGCAGUUGUAUGAAACAAUUCCUUGGUUCAUUUCAUAUUGCAUUUACACGAGAUAUUUAAGUAGAAUAAUCUCAAAUUUAUUUAGAUGAAGCUGAAAUUUGUGCGAUACAUGUGGUUGAUGAUUAGGUUUUGAUUGGUUGAAAUCAUCUUUUAAAAUGUAAAAAUUAUUUUUUAAUUCACUUGGCACCAUGUGAUUGGUGUUGCGGAAUCUCACCCAUGUACCACAUUAGCGUACUAACAGAACUUUAACGGAUUUGGACAGAAUGACCAAACUGAUGUGUUGGACCAAACUUUUUUCUAAAACAUGAAGGAUCAUUUGUGAAAAAUAAAAAUAAAACAAAAAAAAAACCCUAAAUUGUUUUUUCUAAAGAUGCUUUAACUAGAAACAUUGAAUUUUUAUUACAUUACUUUCUUAAAAAGCACUAGAAGUGCUUCCUAAAGAUGAAACAUGGGUACUUAUUUCUCCAUAAAGCACUUCUAUGAAGCACUCUUGGCUUUCCAAAAACAGCCCCAGUUAACCCAUAACAAACAACUCACUCAAGACCACUAAAUAAAUUAGACAGUAAACAAAAGAAAGGUUAAUAAGACAACUACUAUCUCCUCAAAAGUAGCUGAUUAAACAAAACCAGCGGUUAAGAGAGGUUAAUUACAUGGCAGACGAAGUUGUUGAGUAUUCGAUGCUGCAAAAGUUCACAUAUACAAGAACAAUCAACAUUUUGUACACCAACUGGACAACAUAUGGCUAAUAAUUGACGAUUCCAUGUUGCUUAUCACCUUAACAUUUGAAACCUCCGCAGGCAAUAAGCCAUAGUACGAUGAUCAGGAUAAGGACUCCACCUCCAAUCAUUAGCUUCAUUUGGAGACUCUGCAGCCACAUCUUACGUCGCAAUUGCCUGCCUUGCCUCUGGAAGCUGUCAGCCUGAAUUCAAUACAAACAUCCCCAAUAGCAUGUCAACUAAAAUUACCUUGUGAGUUCAAAUCCGGUUUUAGAUUAUACAACCAGAUUAGGUAAGUGAUGGCAUGUACCUGGAACUGCAGAUUUUCUGUUUUAUCAACCAAAAGUUCAAUUCUCUCCCCACGAUCCAAAACCUGCCACCAAGAGAUGGGAUUUAUCCAAUCAACUCAAAAUGAACAAAAGUAGCCAUUCAUGGCUGACUCGCAAAUAUAAGAAGGUAAAAAAAAAAGGGGUGUGAUAUCCACACACUCUAUUUUACUUCUCACACACCUUUUUAAUUUUCGGCCGUCAGAUCGGAUGAAUUGAAGAAGAUCAAUGGACAGAAAUUAUCAAGGAGUGUGUGAGAAGUAAAAUUGGGUGUGUGGAUAGCACACCCCAAAAAAAACAGGUACUUAUUUUCUUUCUACAGAAGCACCAAGGGAAGAAAACCCUCCAAUUAGAUUUGAUUUAUAACAUUAAGGUAUUUGAACGGUAGUGAUAUUAAAACAACAGACAACAAAUAUUUCUAUCUGUCUUCCCACUCCGUUGUCAGCAUUUCGGCAUAAUUUUAGUUCAGGUGGUCAAGUACAACCCAAACUAGUAUGAUUCUACUGAUUACAAGACUGGUGUUUCUUGCUAGAAUGGAUUUACAAAAAUCCCAUACGCAAUUCAAGGAAGCCCUUAAAUCCCAUACGCACAUUGAAGAGCAAUAGUUAUCAGACUCAAACAGACAAUUAUCAAAUUUCUAGCAAAACAUGGUUGUAAGAUCAGAAGCAAUUCAAACCACUGAUAUCCCCCAUUUUACCGUACCCGACUCCCCAAGACCUAUAUAACUCCACCUGGCCAUAAAUCUUUAUUCCUUGGUGCAUGGAGAUGAAUCUUAGAUCAUGACCACCCAAAAAUAGCACUAGCUAUACCCACAUGUUUUCUAUAUUAACCAAGUUUGCAUGACUAUGGAAAAUCCACCCAAGCUGAUUGUUCUUCCUCACCCCACAAAUGUCUACAUUCUCUUUUAUAUCCUCGUUUGACAAUAAAAAACAGACUUAAUUUAUGCACGAUAUGUUCUAAAGAAUUCCUACCCUUUCUUAUAAUCGAAUUGGAAGAAAAGUCCUUAGAUUUUCUUUAUUCAACAGAGGAAAUGGGAGAAAGGAGAACCCUUCAUCCCAGUAAAAAUCUGAAGGUAGCACUGCAGUUAAAUAGCUAUCCCUCUUGUUACCAGAGCAGUGGUGAUGAUGAAGAACACAAGUCUAAUAGGUAUAAGACUUUAUAAUUUACAUCUUUGUACUUCUUUGGAGCAGAUUCAAUGAUUGAAUAAAAUUUCCAGAGCUUUGCUUCUCUCUUGGUUUGUGUGAUGCAACCUAACCCUGGGUGUGAUGCCUAAGGCCUCUACAGGUGAUUCGUUUUAUAAAUCUUUGGAUGAGUUUUCGUUCUAGAGUCAUACUUUCAUAAAGACUCAUCUAGAACAGAUAGCCAGCCUUGCCUUUUGAAAACUAAGGCUUUCCUGCAUCAGGUGGAACUACCAAAAUUAAUGGUAUGACUUAAGCUGCUCCAGCUCUCAAGUCACUCUCCCCAAAGAAAUGUAGUAAAUAAAAACCAACAUGUUCUUACAAAAAAAUCCACAAAACAAGAGAUGGUGAUGCAAUUCUCAGUGGAAGUCAAUUCAAUCAUCACAUACUUCUAAAAAUUGAUGCAAUUUAUCCAAAAGGAAGAGAAUGCAAGCUCCGAUGCAAGUCCAUUGUUCAAUCUUUGAUGCAUACACAAACUUAACUGAAACUAGAAGAAGAUGGGGAGUUCAAUAGAAAGCUGAAAAGAAAAAUAGACAAAAUCAAUGUCUAAGAUUAUCUCAUGGGCAACCCCUCCAAAUUAUAAAGUGGAAGCCCAACAUACGUUUAAAACAAAAAACUCAUAAAUACUCCAUUUCAAAACAGCCAAACCCCUAAUGGCAAAGUAUUGUCAGCAGGUUACCCUCAGAAAAAUGAUCACUAAAGUAACGAGUACUAAGGCAUCAGGUCAAAUUCUAUGACAAAGGGCUGUAACUUGUGCUGAAAACACACCAUUCUAUGCAUAAAAUAACCAUAUCUUCAUAAAGUUCCUCAGCCACGAGUAUAUUAUAUUUUACCUUCUCAAUAUUGUCCAUCAUCACACCUUUGACCUCCGUGAUUUGGGCCUUCAAUUUGGAAAGCUUACUUAUUUCUUCUGGAUGCUCCAUGCAAUAUUGCAUGUGCUCCUUAAGCCUUGGCCUGUCAAAGAAAAACCCAAUAUUUAGUUGCCAUACUAAAUUACAUAGAAGAUUAACAUUUAAACACCAAAAGGCAAAUACACACCCAAAUUCUCUGUCAAGAUUGUAUGCAAUGCUAAAACGAUCUUCAAAUAAGUCAUCGUCUUCGUCACCAUCAGCAAGAGGAUGUGACCCUGCAUUCUUAAUAUCUGGACCAUACCGAUGCUUGAAAUCCUCUUUCACUCGUUCAAGGAACACAAACGGUACAGUCCUCCCGGCAGAUUCAUCAGCAACAACAAGAAACACUGCAAACCCAUUUAGCCGGUUAAACCGUACAUUCCACAAGUAAAUCUCAAACAAAAUUGCUGGAACUUAAGAAAGAAUCCGUACCAAAUCCACUGUCAAGUAGGAAGUUAAAAGUGUGGCCGUCACACGAGUAGGUGUACUUGCUGUUACUGGAAGGUAGCUUCUGUAAGCACUGAACAGCAAGAGUACUAAAGUUUCCGGAGAAGGACGUGUGUUCUGCUAAAACAACACUUCCUUUUGCAACAAAGCUAUAUAUUAAUCCUCUGUGACUCAUAUCCGAUUUAUCACUCCAAUCGCGCGAAGAUACCUAAAUGCAGUGUUACCCUAGAGAAAUUUGACAAGUAAGAAAAAGAAAUAUCAAAAUACGCAAAACGAAAAUUCCGUAUUAUACUUCAGUUGGAUGGGUUUUCAAUGUGCUUGAAACCCACCAUCGUCACUUAACCAAUCGUAAUCCUUCAAUUUUCUCGGCAACCAAACAGAAAAGGAAAAAAGGUCCCAAAGAAAUGGGGAUUAUACUUGAUUUGCAAAUCUUAAAAAAAUUAAAUUGAAUUACAUCUUGAUCCGCAAAUAACACCGACAAAUAGGGAAGAAGGAGGAACUUACUUGUCAGAUCAAUGGAUGCCGAUCUACGCAAUCCAAGAGAGAGAGAGUGUGUGUGUGUGUGAUGGAUUUAAGGGGAAGUUGCUUUGUCGGGAAGUUGAAGACCUGGAAAUAGAAUAUUGGCAAAAUCGGAAGUCAGUUGGGCGUAUUCUUUCUGUACUGAAUAAAUAAGGGCGACGUGGUGCACGGAAAAGGAUCCUCGGUUCCCUAGGAUUCUAGGAUACCGUCAACAUAAUCGUUUAUCGUAUAUCGAACGGUCAGUUUUCGUUAAAUACUAUUUAUAUUUAAUUUUUAAAUUUUAAAUUUUGAAAUAAUUUCUAACCGCACGAUAUAUUAUAAACAUAGUGCACGUCUCUUCUUGCUAAAUUGGUUUUACUCAACUAAGUCUAGAAGUGUUAAGCUCUUACAUGACAGCGUAAAUUCAAACUCCGUCGAUGGUUAACCUAACAUUUUAUCUAAUAAAAUCUAUCGUUUGACAAAAAAAAAAAAAAUUAGAUCACCACCACGUCUAUUCCAUCAAAAGAUUAAACUCCCAUUUUAUUUUUACCCCUUAAAUGACUUAACAAUAAAAUUGACGGUUUAACGAAUGAAAUAUAAAAAUCAUGUAGUGUAAAAUGCAAAAAUUUAAACCUCGCGGCUCAUUUUGCAAAUUAUUCCAAACCUUAUUGCGUAAAAUGUAGUUAACCCUUCAUUUUAAUUUCUACAAAAAUCAUAAUCAUGACGACACGUGCUUGGACGCUAUUGUUGCUUGUUAACUCAGGGUCUGUUUGCUAUCCAUUUUAGUUUUAACUUCAGUUUUUUUUUUUUUUUUAUAACUAACGAAAUGAAGACAACUCCGCCUGUGUAAGUUUAUCUUACAUUACUGGUCCCAAGCCCCGAUAAAGGAGGAGGGGGAGGGCGUCAGGUAGUCGACAGCCGCCACUCCUAGGUUACGUCGAAUCCUUAUGAAAAUGAAUCCAGAACAAAAUCGCUCUAAAGCUAGGGCGUCACCCGUAAGUGGUGCGGUGUGUGGCCCGAGCACAGUGAUAAGUGAGCAAGGGUCGCUGUAUCUCCAUCGGCACCCAGAUGCAGUGUUAAAUGAGCAAGGGGGCCAUAGAAACUUCUUUUCGAACGACUCCACUCAAAGUUUUUUAGGAGCUUAUGCUCCUAUCAACUUUACACAGGACACACAAAAGAAGUAUUUUGAUCUUAUUAGACGGGGGAGGUUGAAGAAGCUAGGACAGAAGGGUAGAGUUCAAGAGAGUAGAAUGCGUUUAGGAACGUGGAAUAUAGGAACCCUAACGGGAAAAUCUAUAGAAAUAGUGGAAGUUAUGGUGAGGAGAAUGAUAAAUAUUAUGUGCCUACAAGAAACUAAGUGGGUUGGUCUUAAGGCAAAGGAUCUAGAAAACUCAAUGUUUAAACUCUAGUAUUCGGGCACAAAUAGAACGAGAAACGGUGUUGGCAUCAUUGUGGACAAGACCUUGACACAAGAUGUAGAUGUCAAGAAGGUAGGAGAUAGAAUCAUGGCAAUCAAGAUUGUAAUAGGACAAGAACUCAUCAAUGUGAUUAGUGCGUACGCACCUCAAGUCUGGUUGGAUACGAGUUCGAAGGAGAAAUUUUGGGAAUACCUUGGAGACUUGGUGCAAGGAAUUGCUCAGACGGAGAAGUUAUUUAUAUGAAGAGAUUUAAAUGGACACGUGGGCAAAGAGACAGGCAACUAUGGAGGUUUUCAUGGUGGCCAUGGUUUUGGGGAGAGAAACGAGAAUGGGGAAGCUAUCUUGGAUUUUGCAAUGGCAUAUGAUCUCUUCUUAGCCAACACCUUCUUUAAGAAGAGAGAAGAACAUGUGAUCACCUACAAGAGUGAGUCGUCAAAAACACAAAUAGAUUUUCUUCUAAUGAGGAAAGGGGAUUGUAUAACUUGUAAGGAUUGCAAAGUUAUACCGGGAGAGAGCUUGGCUAAUCAACAUCGCUUGUUGGUGAUAGAUGUACAUAUCAAAAGAGUGAGAAAAAAGAACAAGACUUGGAAGUGCCCAAGGACUAGAUGGUGGAAUCUAAAAGGAGAAAAACAAGCCAUUUUCAAAGAGAAAGUAAUCACCCAGUGUGUGUGGGAUAGAAAGGGUGAAGCUAGCCAAAGGUGGGAUUCCAUGGCUAGUUGUAUCCGAAAAGUAGCAAAAGAGGUAUUAGGAAAGUCCAAAGGCUUUGCUCCACACCAAAGGGAAUCUUGGUGGUGGAAUGAGGAAAUACAAACAUAGGUGAAGGCUAAGAAGGAAUGUUGUAAAGCUUUAUACAAGGAUAGGACCGAUGAAAAUGGUGAAAGGUAUAGAAGAGCGACGCAAGAGGUGAAGAAAGUUGUGAGAGAAGCUAAGUUAGUGGCUUAUGACGAUAUGUAUGAGCGACUAGAUACCAAAGAAUGAGAGUUUGAUAUUUAUAAACGAGCUAGAGCAAGGGAAAAGAAGACAAGAGACCUAAACCAAGUGAAGUGCAUCAAGGAUGAGGAUGGAAAAGUUCUUGCUACAGAGAACGCGGUCAAAGACAGAUGGAUAGGUUAUUUUCAUAAUCUUUUCAAUGAAGGACAUGAAAAGAGCACUUCUUUAGGGGAGUUAAGUAACUCAGAAGAGUGUAGAAACUACUCAUUUUAUCGUCGAAUCAGGAAGGAAGAAGUGGUUGUAGCUUCGAAGAAGAUGAAUCAUAGAAAAGCAGUGGGCCCAAAUGAUAUACCGAUCGAAUUGUGGAAAGUCUUGGGAGAGACAGGUAUAGCAUGGCUCACUAACCUUUUCAAUAGGAUUUUGAAAACGAAGAAGAUGCCAAAUGAGUGGCGAAAGAGCACUUUGGUGCCUAUCUACAAGAAUAAGGGCGACGUACAAAAUUGCAUGAACUAUAGGGGUAUUAAGCUAAUGAGUCAUACAAUGAAGCUCUGGGAGAGAGUCAUUGAGUAUAGAUUGAGGCAAGAGACACGGGUUUCAGACAACCAAUUCGGGUUCAUGCCAGGGCGCUCAACCAUGGAGACAAUCUAUCUCUUACGAAGAUUGAUGGAAAAAUAUAGAGAGGGGAAAAAGGAUUUACACAUGAUCUUUAUAGAUUUGGAAAAAGCGUAUGAUAGGGUCCCAAGAGACAUUCUUUGAAGGAUUUUGGAGAAGAAAGGAGUACGAGUAGCAUAUAUCCAAGCUAUAAAGGAUAUAACAAGACAUAUUCAAGAUGAUAUUCCUUGGUGUAUGCUUUUCGCAGACGAUAUAGUGUUGAUAGAUGAAACUCAAGAAUGGGUAAAUGUGAAGCUUAACCUUUGGAGAGAAGUGUUGGAAUCUAAAGGUCUUCGCCUAAGCCGAUCAAAGACAGAAUAUAUGGAGUGCAAGUUCAGUGCAAAUGGAGGCCAAAAUGAGUUAGGCGUGAGGAUCGGAGAUCAGGAAAUACCAAAGAGCGACUGCUUUCGCUACCUAGGAUCUAUCUUGCAAAAGAAUGGAGAAUUAGAUGGAGAUCUCAACCAUAGAAUACAAGCUGGAUGGAUGAAGUGGAAAAGUGCAUCCGGCGUGUUGUGUGACCGCCGUAUGCCACUGAAGCUCAAAGGAAAAUUUUAUAGGACGGCAAUAAGGCUGAUGAUGCUGUAUGGCACAGAAUGUUGGGCGGUGAAGCAUCAACACGUACACAAAAUGGGUGUAGCAAAGAUGAGGAUGCUUCGUUGGAUGUGUGGGCACACGAAAAAGAAUAAGAUUAGGAAUGAGGAUAUUCGAGGUAAAGUAGGAGUAGCCGAAAUUGUAGGAAAGCUGAGAGAAAAUCGGUUACGGUGGUUUGGACAUGUGCAAAGAAAGCCUACUGACGCUCCGGUUAGAAGAUGCAACUACAUGAUAGAGGUUCAGGGCCGAAUGGGUAGAGGAAGACCUAGGAAAACUUUGGAAGAGACUCUAAGAAAAGACUUAGAGUACUUGGAUCUAACGGAGGACAUGACACAGGACCGAGCACAAUGGCAUUCUAAGAUUCAUAUCGCCGACCCCACUCAAUGACUUGGAUUUUUCAAGUCUCCAACCAAGAAGUUUUCCUCACUCGAGAAAUUAAGGGAACACUACCUCAACCUACAUGUUUCACUCACAAAGCUUCAACAUACAAGCUUCAACAAAAGAAAAAUUCAAAGAACUUAGUGAAGAAGGCUUUGGUGUAUUUAACACAAUACGUUGAAAUGAAGCAAAGCUUAUUUACUGAUAUCUUCGAUAAGUUACAAAUAUGUACAUAUACAUGAGUCAAAAUAAACAAACAAUAGAAGCCUUCACAAUGGUUGCUUAAGAGAAGUCUCAGCAGUCGGUAGAGUCCCAGAAAGAGAAGGCACCGGAGGGUGAUCACUCGGAACCUCAGUACUGGACAGAACCCUAGAAGGAAGAGGCAUCGGAGGCUGAUCAUUUGGAGCUUCACUACGCGGUACAGCCCCAGAAGACGAAGACAAUAAAUGCCUUUGGAACAAACCUAUAAACCUCUGAUGAUCAAGUAAAAUCUGACCAUCAGAUUCCUUCAUCUGGUCAAGCUUCCUCUUCAUGUUUGUAGCAAAGUCAUGUGCGAGCCUGUGCAACUGUUUAUUCUCAUGUUUGAGCCCUCUAAUCUCCUGCUUGAGACUCAUCACUUCAGCCGCCAAUGAUUCAACUUGGUGGGUUCGAGCAAAUAGGCGUUGGGCCAUAUUCGACACAGAACCUACACACUGAACACUGAGAACCAGAUAAUCUUUAACAGCCAACUCAUCAGACCGUUUGGAAAGAAGUCUGUUAUCUUUGGGAGUGAGAAGGUUCCUAGCCACCACCGCAGCGUUCAUAUCAUUCUUCAUCACGGAAUCCCCAACGGUAAGAGGACCAGUAGGGGAUAAGAAGGAUGGGCGCCAUAUGUUGUCUGGAGAAAGCGCGGCUGCCUCUUCACCAAGGUUCAAGUCAAAACGACGGUCGGAAGGGCCAUACAUUUUCAAAGGUGUUGAAGAGAAGAGGUCAGACAAAUCAAGAUCUUAGAAGUGCAAGAAGGGAGCUUCUACUGGUGGAGAUUCAAGUGUGCUUUGGAACUUAAUGCCAGCCUCUAUAAAAAUCUGCACUCGACAGAGCUUCAGAAAUCGAAGAGGCGCCUGCUCAGAAAUCGAAGAGGCGUUUGCUUUCUUAAAAGCUGGACUGCUCAGAGACCACGAGGGCCAAUCUCAGAGAUCGAAGAGGCGUUUGCUUUCUCAAAAGCUAGGCUACUCAAAGACCAGGAGGGACAAUCUCAAAAAUCGAAGAGGCGCUUGCUUUCUCAAAAGAUGGGCUGCUCAAAGACCACGUGGGCCGAUCUCAGAAAUUGAAGAGGCACCUGUUUUCUCAGCCUUGUCAGCACCUGUCACAUGCACACUCAGCUUUGCGGAAAUUACGGGCAAUCUGUCGAAGAUUUCUGGUGAAGUAGAAAGCACGUGAAUCUUACUGUUCAAUCAUCCAUUUUCCACACGCAACAUCAGCUCAUGGGUACCACAGAUAACUUUGCCAAAGAUCUCUGACAAAGUUUAAACGUGUGAAGCUUGCAGCUCCCACUACAUCGCUAUGACCAAGAAGGGUAAAAGAAUAGCAAAUAAACAGCACUAACAAAGUUUAUACAUAUAAAUUUUGAAGGUUUAGCUACCAUAUUAUUACCCACAAGGGUAAAGGAACAGCACCACUGUUGGAUAAUUGGAAAGUCCCUGUGUGUCAACCUCUGUGCUCCGUGGCAAGGUAGACUAGCAAAAAUGCCCAACCUUUACUCACAUUCGAGAAAACACUCCCAACAAGAUUGCUUGCUCUAAAAUCGAAGAGGCACCGCCCUCCGAAUCUCGAGAGCUAGACUCUUAACAGGAUUACUUUCUCAAAAAUCGAAGAGACACCGCUCUCCGAAUUUCAAGAGCCAGACUCCCAGCAGGAUUGCUUUCUCAAAAAUCGAAGAGGCACCGUUCUCCGAAUCUCGAGAGCCAGAUCCCCGAUAGGAUCGCUUGUUCAAAAACCGAAGAGGCAUCGCUUUCUCAACUUCGAGAGCCAGAUCUCCUUGGAUAAAGCUUGUCUGUAAUCUUCACACGCAACAUCAGCUUUCCAGAUACCACAGACCACUUUUUUAAAGUGCUCUAACAGAGUUAAAACACGUGAAGCUGGCAGCUCCCACUACAGUGCUAUGACCAAGAAGGGUAAAGGAAUAGCAUUACUACUUGUUGUUAGGGAGACUCCUAUAUAUGUCGACCUCCAUCCUCAACGGAUAGGCAGACCUGCAAAAAUGCUCAACCCUUCCUCAUAUCUAAGAGGGCACUCCCAACGAAGCCUCUCGAAAUACUCAGCUUUCUUUCCCCCCGAUAAUACCUCUGCAAACAAGCUACAGCAGAGCAAAAAUUUCUCAUAUCAUCAGGGUUAAAAGCAAGAGUAUCACAUAUCAUGCUUUUUCCCUGUCUUUUCAUUUGGCCUUGUUCUUACCUGCAAGACAAGGAGAAAGAGAGCAAUCAGUCAGCACUUGGAAUCAAGCUUCCAGUCAGGAACUGACUGCCUGGAACCCCUUACCUGAUUACUUACCUGACAUUGCUCUCGAGUACUCAUCUUCAACAUCUUAUGUUUCCAGAGAAGAUACCACAUUUGCCUGAGGAACAGUUAGGGCAAGUGAGAAGGAUACAAGGAAGCAUGUGGAGACAAGCGUAACAGAACACGUGCCGAUACUUCCACUACUUUGUCAACAGAAAAAGUAUCUCAUAUCAGCAGGGUCGAACGUGCUCUAGAUUUGAUGGACUUGUUUUGACCCUCAAAUUCUUCAGUCGGCCUUAUACUCUGGAGGUAACUAGAAAACCCUCCAACCCAGUUCAAGAAUAAGCAUGUGGAAAGUUACUUCUUCAAAAGCAAAAGUAUCUCAUAUCAUUUCUUCUCUUUAUCCUUCAUGCUGCCUGCAAGAUAAGGAAAAUGAGAAUAAUCAGCCGGAACUCGAAAUCAAACUUCUGAUCUGGGACUGAUUGCUUGGAGUUCUGAUUGCUUACCUUGUCUGUCACCUUUUCCAGCAGAUCCCCACGCUCGGCGACUUGGGGGACUCCUACUACAUGGUUUGUAUUGCGCUUGACCAAGCCUGAAACACAAGUAAGCUUCAAGUGAAAUUGAUACAUUACCUUGUGCAUCUCCACCAAUUAAAGAUAUCACCCCUAGACGGAGGAAGAGUACUUCUAGAGAAGAUGCCACAUCUACCUAUGAGACAGAUAAGGCAAGUGAAGACGAUACCACACUUCGGUACUUAGAAGUUUCGUGAUUACUCAGCGGCUUGGAUCUUGCACGUCCCCAACCGAGGAGCUUCCCCUCAAACCAGGAGGCCAAUCACAGAGCGACAUGUGUCGACAUUAGAAGCCAAUCAUAGCGCGACACGUGUCAACAUCGAAAGCCAAUCACAACACGACACGUGUCAAUGUCAGAAUAAGGCUAGAAACUCUCUUCUAUAAAAGAAGAUCAUUCUCCCAAAAUAUUUCCUAAUGUCAUCUGUACUAAAUCAUUCACUUGUACCCACUAAAGGAGAGCUUGAACCUAUGUACUUGUGUAAACCCUUCACAAUUAAUGAGAACUCCUCUACUCCAUGGACGUAGCCAAUUUGGGUGAACCACGUACAUCUUGUGUUUGCUCUCCUGUCUCUAUCCUUUUACAUACUUAUCCACACUAAUGACCGGAGCAAUCUAGCGAAGGUCACAAACUUAAUACUUUCUGUUCUACCAAAGUCCUCACUGAUUUUGUGCAUAAACAAUCCUUAAGUCCUUACCUUUUUGCAUUGGUAAUAGAUGAGUUAACAAGACAUAUUCAAGAUGUUAUUCCUUGGUGUAUGCUUUUCGCAGACGAUAUAGGGUUGAUAGAUGAAACUCAGGAAGGAGUAAAUGCGAAGCUUAACCUUUGGAGAGAAGUGUUGGAAUCUAAAGGUCUUCGCCUAAGCCGAUCAAAGAUAGAAUAUAUGGAAUACAAGCGGGAUGGAUGAAGUGGAAUAGUGCAUCCGGCGUGUUAUAUGACCGUCGUAUGCCACUGAAACUCAAUGGAAAAUUUUAUAGGACAGCAAUAAGGUCGGUGAUGUUGUAAGGCACAAAAUGUUGGGCGGUGAAGCAUCAACACGUACACAAAAUGGGUGUAGCGGAGAUGAGAAUGCUUCAUUGGAGGUGUGGGCUCACGAGAAAUGAUAAGAUUAGGAAUAAGUGGGUUGGACAUGUGCAAAGAAGGCCUACUAACGCUCCAAUUCGAAUAUGUGACUACGGGACAGAGGUUCAGGGCCGAAGGGGUAGAGGAAGACCUAGGAAAACUUUGGAAGAGACCCUAAGAAAAGACUUAGAGUACUUGAAUCUAACGGAGGACAUGACACAAAACCGAGCGCAAUGGCGUUCUAGGAUUCACAUAGCCGGCCUCACUUAGUGGGGAAAUGCUUUGUUGUUGUUGUUGUAACGAAAUGAAGACACACAAAUGUUUUUAGUCCACAUGUCCUUAAUUUAUUGGCACAUAAUUGUGCCAUGUAGGUUGUUCUCAAGACAUAGAGUCUGAAGAACAUAAAAUUACACAUGAAAUAUGUACUAGUUUUUGGGAAAUUGAGUUACAAGUUUUUACAAGUACAACAUUAUUGCAGUCUGCACUGGAACAACAAACAAAUCCACUCCAACCCCAAAUGCUUUCAUUCGGAAUAGUUCAUGUUUGUUCAGCGGCUGCCAGACUUAGCACCAACUACACACGGAGCUCCGCCUCUGGUUUCCUUUACAUAGGAAACAUAGUCAUUAUGGUCCAUCGUGCAUAAGGAGCUCUGGUAGCGGGUCAACCGUAUACGGUUCCGAAGCGACUCAGUGAUGCUCCCAUUGUAACCAGAUUUCCGCAUCAAUGAGUCAAUUGCUUCGGUUUUUGUCCAACCUGAAACCAAAUCAGACCAGACUAAGAACCAAAACACUAACAAACACAAAUUGGCACAGAAAUUUCGGCUUAUUGGUGAAUUACAGCACACAUAUCACAUUGCGUUCCUUAAUUUUCAUUAGAAACCUAACUACAAUUGGAUCCUUAUCUUCAAAAAUAAUCCACCUGACUUCUGUUACAAUGGAUGAGUAGUAACAGAAAUCAUGAAAGAACACAUUAAAACCUAGGAAUCGGUAACCCUGCGUCCGCUAAAUUUACGACUCAAUCCAUUAGGCUAAAACCUUGUCUAUGAAGGAUAGGGGCUUUUUAGUUCGGUACUAAAAACUUUGCUCAUAAAAGAUAAGGUUGCUUCAGUUUUAGGCACUAUAGCAGACGUGGAAGACGUAGAAGAAUUGUUCAAGGUUAGGUACCAAAGGUAGAAGAGGGAAUCAGUUUGGACCACGACGUCAUUCAAACCUUCAAACAGUAACGGUUGCAAAAUCAUUUUUUAACAAACCUAAUUUUUAUGACCAUGACAUCCAUACAACUGUGUGUCUGAGUAGUAGUAACAGCUUGGUCCAGUUGUUUUUCUAGGCUUUAAAGUUCAAAGUACUCAAACCCAAAUCCUAUGCCCUAAAUCCUUAUAUAUCUUAAACUUCAACGAGACUCAAGCAGUGACACCAAUGUGUGGCUGAGGUGACGUUACAACAUAAAACUAUAUAAAAAGAAUCAUCUAUAUGAACCCAUUCGAACCGUAAUUUUGGAAAGCUUACCCAGCUAUUCAAACAGAUGAAAAACAAAAAUUCCCACUCUCCUGGAUGAUUUUUUGCCCCUAACUAACUUUACCUCAUUUUCUCUGUACCUCAUCUUACAAAUAUGUAAACAGCUGCUGCUACAAAAAUCUAUAAAAGAAACUGGUUUGGUUCGUUCCAUGAAAAGUGGCAUUAUGACCACCUGUUCAAUUAGCAAAACAGAAUGUAAAUAAGUAACAAACUAUGAACAUAAGAAACUUAGCUAAUAGUUCGCCCACUCAAAGGACCUUUGUCAAAAUGUAGGACGAUAAUGAACCGUACUAAAUUUCCAAUUGGGUAAAGCUCCUUAUAUUUUUUUUAAUGCUUUAGUCCUUUUUUUUGUAAAAUUUAACCACUCACCUUCCUUGUCAUUUCCCAACUCUUCCCCUCCCCACCUUUUAUAGCUGGGCAUAGUAAUGCCAUGGAAAGUGGUAUGUUUCUGUUUCAGGGGCCCCAAAAUGGACUCUUAUGAACCCAUUUGAGGGGUCCAUCACAGGCGACUGUCUUAUGACCAAGGCAACAUAUGCUUUUUUCUAGUUUGAAAAUAAAUAAAUAAAUGUGGAAAAUCAUGAGAUAUAAUUGUAAAUUUAUUAACAAAACAGAAUUUGGAGAACCGGGCAAAAAAAUAAAAGAUCACAUUUUCCAAUUCUAAUUUCAUUUCAAAGGUUGGCGUAAAAUUUGCACCACCAGAAUUUUCAUAGAUACUACUAUGAUUUCUUUUGGUCAUAAAUUUCAAAAAGGCCUAUUUUUCGAAAAUAAUGAGUGGACAGAAUUACCUUCAUGGGCAGCAAUCUCAGGCAAAUACGUGGCGCUGCGUCUUGUGUUAUAGUCAGGAUCAGUAAACUCAAUAAUUAUACCAUGUUUUCCAAUCUGCAAUAAUUAUUAAUCAUGAUAAGAGAGCAAACAAAAUUUUGGAGAUAUAUUACAGAGUGAAUUAUGACCGUGCUUCUCAUGCAUACCGUAUCCCAUGCCAGAGUAUAUUACAAACUUAAUCUAAACAAUGAGACCUACAGUAUACCAUGCAACAUAGCUGAUUAAGCCAAAACCAUUAAAGAUCCUUACAAAUAUCCCAACGGUGGAAGAACUUGAACAUACCUCCCAAUCGAGGUAGUUACUAGCAGUUUCAUAAUCAGUCAGAAUGGAAACUGUGCAUUCCAAAUAAGGUAUUUCCUUAGCCUGUAUUGGGGGAAACCUCCGGUCCUUCAAAGCACUACAGAAAAUUACAAACAGGAAGAAAUGAUUAAAAAAUAUCACAAAGAAAAGAAAACCCCACAUCAGUAUAGAAAAAUAUAAAAAAAUAAAGUGUUAUGCAAAUGCAGUAGGAUGUCUCAUAUAUUCAAUGGUUUGCACAAGAUCUGACCUAGCUCAAAGCAAUAAGCGUUGUUCCAAAGUAUAUGAAGGCUCCAAGGAAGCAACAUUGAUUAGCAUUAUGUGACAGCCAAAUGUUAUUUCUAAUCAAGAAUCAAGUAUUUCAUGGAAGAUCAAAGCAUACUGAUUCGAUAUUACUGGAGUACGGACUGGGUGGAGUUAAGGAAAAUUAAUGUGUCAAAGGAUCAUACAGCAGAGAACGCUUCACAUUGUUGGACUAAACAAAUUAUAGAAGAAAUGUUCAAACAUUGCACGACUUUAUCCAAUCCUACUACAUUCUGAGGAUCGAGUGGAGCACUGUGCAUGAGGCGAGAAGGGUCUUGCCAAGGUCAAAGUUCUUCAGCCCUUUCAGGAUUGCUUCAAGAAGGUUCAAGGACACCGGUCUUGUCUUGAUUUUGAUCUCCACCAAUCAUUCCAUCUAUUAAAAUCCUCAUCUCAACAUCUUGUACAAAACCGAUCACCAGAUUAAAAUCCUCAUCUCUCUCUGUCUCCUCCUAUCCCUUAACGGUUACCUUUACCUGUUCUUCCUAUUUUGCACAUCGAGUGGCAGUAAAUUGAUACCAGUUGUUGAUAUCUUUUGUGUUUCUUAUGUUAAAAAAAGGGCACCAAGUCGGAAAUAAAUAAGAAACCUUUUAAAAGGUCUGAUCGUUAAAGAUAUACAAAAACCAAAAAAGAAAAACCAAUCAAACAUAAACAAGUUAAAGAAUCAAAGACCAAAAGACACAGGUCAAAGGUUAAUGACAAAUAAUAAUGAAGACUUGGUAAUCCAAAAAAUGGGCCCAUUCAUGCCACAUAAUGAUGAUCAGAAGAUCUUUUGAUAAAUAAUUACAAGUAACAAAUAAUUACAAGAUUUGUUAUAAUACCUGUUUAGGGCAUAGUCCCUGAAGCCAUUAAUCAAGCCCCGAGCUUCUAGUGUUCCUAUGCAUCCACGCAAACGAGGCUCACCACCAUUCAUCACUUUCUUCCAAGUAACAAACAAUGGACUGAGACCAAAGCAUUGUUAAUAUCAGAUGAGAACAUUGAAAGAAUCAAUGUACUGCUUCUUAAGCCAUAUAGCAAUCAACACACACACACACACUCUCAUAUAUGGGUGUGUGUAUGUGUGUUGUGUGUGCCAGUUACGAUGCAGAUCACCCACUAUUACGACUGAUAUGCAAGUCCACAAGUUAGGUUCCCAACUUAACACACACACACAUAUUAACAUACAUAUAUAUAGAUUCUAUUAGCAGAAGGAAACAUGAAACUAAUAUUGCCGGCCAUUUAUCACUCAUAACCCAAACGACAAAGGGUAAUAUAAAAGAGCACAUGCCACAUAAUUGGAGGAUGCAAUAUUUAAACUAAAAGCAAAUAAAUCUCAAACCAAGUAUUGAUAAAAGAAACUGCAAGACGUACAGCCUACGUGGUACAUACACUUCUUGUCUAAAGAGAAGGUGUCAAGUUCAAAUCUCCCAUUCCUCAUAACCACAACAACAACAAAGCCUUUUCCCACUAAGUGGGGUCGGCUAAAAAAGCCAUUCCUCAUAACCGGUACGAGAAAAUUAUCAGAUCUAUCCUUAUGUCUAGUUAAAAAAAAGACAUAAAAAGAACAAGGGAAAAAAUAAUUAUAGGAGUCCCUUUCUCCUAAACACCAUGGUCCAAGAACAUUGUGAUCACCCACCGUUCUACCUGAAUCCAAUGAUAGGUAGUCAAUUAACUUUGUUGUUGUACUUUUUCCUCCACCGUUGGAUUAAGAUCGAAAGUGAGUGACUACAAUUUCCUUGGACCAUGGAGUCUAGGAGAAUGGAACUGAUAGUCAUAGACACAACAUAGACUCAAAUUGCGCUCUUGCUUUUGCAAAUGACUGCACUUUAUUUUUCAAAUAACAAUACUACAAAAAAAAGGAAAUAUUCACUCAACAAGUUGAUUCUCAUAGCCAGUAAAAAAGCCAAUGCUAGAAGCUAAGCCAGCACACCGAUCAGGCUCCAAUAAAGGGCCUCCACCUCCUCGUGCAUUUUCGAAACAGAGUACCUAAUCUGAAUGGACUUCAAUCAAGUACCAAACUAAUCAUAUAUCCUAUCCCCUCUUGCCUAGUGCUGAUUUCAGAAAACAUGGGAUCGAUACAAGGCCUUCCAACACCACACUCAUAACUUGCUGACCGAAGACAACUGUACAUGGCUGAGCUAAUAUACUUUGGGAAAAUUCAGCAAUGGCAUGACAAAAUCAUCUUAAUCUAAGCAAGCCACUGAGACCGGUUCUAUAUAUAUAUAUUAAAUUUGUAGUUCACACUUCACAGUAGAAGAAAAAUAAAACAGAAUUAAAGUAAAAUGCCAUCGAAAAAAUGAAGCCAGAAACCGUCCUCCCAGUAGAUACAAUCUCAACAAUCUUCAGCAAAAAGUAAAACCAUGGCAUUAGAUUUUUCCUAAAAAAUUAAAUAUAAUAAAAUUGAAACGAGUAUGUGUGUGUACAUAUAUAUAUAUAUAUGUAUAUAUACACAGAGAGAGAGAGAGAGAGAGAGAGAGAGAGUACUGCUGGCCGUCGUCGAAAGCAGGGGGAGGAGGUUGGUCGGUGGUGUAGUGAGCGAGGAGAGUAUCGAAGCAGUAAGCCACCAUGUCCUUGUUCGCCGACACCAUUUUUUGUUUAUUAUACAAUUGCAAUUGGUAUAAAUGAUCGGUUUGGUUGCUUCGUAUUUGAUUUGAUCCCUGAAAUUAGGGUUUUAUAGAACGAAAGAAUGGAAGUAUAAAAACCAAACUUUUUUGGUCCCAGAAAACCAGAAAUAAUUGAAACAGAGAAGAAAGCAGGAAAAAGUAGAAAAUUUUGCUUUGUACGAGGAUCGACCAUCCUCUGAAGCAACCGAAAUAAUAAAAUAAAAAAUAAAAUUUCCUCCCAAGUCCGCCACCAAAAAAUACAAAUAUUCGCACCGAAUUUCGCACGUCAUUUUCUUUCACUUUUUUUAUUUUUAACCGUUGAAAAGGUGCAACUCAGCAACGAGUAGCAAGGUGAAAAUUUUGGUUCCAUUCAGGGAAUGAGAAUCAUUGUGGAGAUUCCGGAGAUCAUUCGAUCACAUCUAUUUAUCGUAUAUUUUGCAGUCUAUUUUUAUUAGGUUAUGUUUAUAUUUAAUUUUAAAUAAAAAAAUUUACAAUAAUUUUUUACUGCACGAUAUACUAUGAACAGAUAUGAUUAGAGAAUUUUCGGGAUCCUCACAAAGAGGAUCCUCAUUCCCAUUCAGGUUCCUUGAGUUGGGUCGAGUUGGAUUGGAACAAGGUUAAAUUCAAUUAUAAAUUUUGCACCUUGUGUUUGGAUGAGAAAUUUUAUUGAUGUUCGAUUAUUUACACCUUAUUUUGCAAGAUUUAUAAAGUUAAAUCAAAUAUAAGGAAUAAGGUGUAAUUCAAAUCUAUAAACUCUUUAUAUUGUGUUUGGAUGAGAAAAUUUUACUGACAUUCAAUUAUGUUACACCUUAUUUUGCAAGAUUUAUAAAGUUAAAUCAAAUAUAAGGAAUAAGGUGAAAUUCAAAUUUAUAAAUUCUUUAUAUUGUGUUUGGAUGAUGAAAUUUAUGAUUACGAAUAAAUUUGAAAAUGACGGAAAUAAUGAGGUAAUUUUAUUUUUUUAAAUUUGUGAAUUUUCUUGUUUAGUUAGCUUAAACAAACAAUGGAAUUUGAAGACAAAAAUUUUUUUUUAACUGUCUCAUAAGAAUUUGAAAAUGACACCUAUCAACAUCGAAUUUAAACUUUGGGAUUUGUGGUCCCAAAUUACAAGUUUUUUUUUCCACGAGAAAAUUCUAAAUUUAUAUGCUUAUGAAUCCAAACAAAUAAGGGAAUUGAUGCAUAUCAAUUUAUAAAUUAUGAUUUUUGUCAAAAUUCUAAAUUUAUUUUCCUCAUUCAAAUAUAUUGUUAGAACUUAGAAUUCAAUUCCAAAGUUCAUUAUCUACUCAAAAGUAAAACGAAAUAGGAAAAUUAACCAUGCAAAUGUGGAAUUAGAUUAUAAAACAAUACCAUUAUCCAAAUUUAUAUACAUCAUAUUAUACAAAUUAGGUAGGUUUGGUUUGGCGCGCACGAGUGAAUUUUCAGGUGUCGGCUAGCACAUCGUGAUUUGAGUGUUCAGGUGAACAUUUUAGGUCGGAGUGUGUCGGUUUGGUAUCAAAGUUUAGAACUCAUAUUGGAUUGGGUUAGAGGUAUGGCCAUCCAAACCAAACUCAAUAAAUGAUCGGGUUUAGUUUCGCAUCCUUUUCCAAUUACAUCCUGCCCAAUUGAGUUUACAAAUUGGAGCUGAUUUAUUCAACCGAGUUAAAAAAUAAAUAUAAAAAAAAUAAAAAUAAAAAUAAAAACACCCUUAAAAUCAGCAUUUUACAUUCUUGUUGGCGUGAAAGUUCUCUAAGGUACCGUUUGGUACGUGAGACGGGACGGAACGGAGUGGGACGAUGCGUUCCGUCCCACGUUUGGUGCGCCUAAAACGGGUGGAACGCGCUGUUCCACGGGACGAAUUUUGGGUGAAUUUUCGUUCCGCCUCACCCUCCUGGAAUGACUCGUUCCACAUCUGUGGAAACAAAAUUAUAACAUCUCCAUCUCCUUCUUCUUCCUCCUUAUUUCCAUCCGAUAGCAUCUUUACUCCAUCUCUGUUCCGUCCCGUCUACAUACCAAACGAUACCUAAUGGACGGGGAUACAAAAUAAUCAAUUUAGUUAGAAAAUGUAAACAAAAAUAUUAAUUUACAUCUUUAGGAGACGGGCCUCGUUAGUAAAAGAGAAAAUUAAAUAAAAUCACAAAUUUCUGAAAAUAUAAAAUGAAAUUUAAAAGCAACUUUUACAUGCCAUUUAAGAUGCCCUUGGAGGAUUGGCUUCCACAGGACACCACAAGUCAAAUAUUUCGUUAAGGAUGCUAAGAACUUCACUAAGAAUUCUUAAUGAAAUUCUUUGCAUCCAUAAUGAUAAAUAUGCCGAACGUUUGUAAGAAUGCUAAGAAUUUCAUUAAAAAUCCUUACGAGCGUUCAACAUAUUUAUCAAGAAGCCAAUAUAAUUGCGGAAGAUGAAAACACCAUAAGUCAAAUAUUUUCAAUCUGGUUUAGUAAUUUUCCUUCCGACGGAGCUUUGAAAAGUAUACAUAUCAAGAGGCUGCAUGUGUUUCCGCUGUGAAAAUUUCAGAUCAGGAUGGCUGCUGCAUUACUAAACCAUGAAAUAAAUGCUCUCCGUAAAAAUAUGAGGCCCAUUCUCCUAGACCCCAUGGCCCAAGAAACUGUGAUCACUCACCGUUCGAGCUUAACCCAACGGUGGAGAAAAAAGUACAGUAACGAGGUUAAACGACCAUUUAUCGUUGCAUUAAGAUCGAACAGUGGGUGACCACAAUUUUUUUAGACCAUGGAAUCUUAGGGUGCAUUUGUUUGAUGUUAGUAAGUGCGACUGGCUUAAGUGGGACUACAAUCCCAUGUUUGGUGCGGGUUGGGAUUAAAGUAAAUGAGACUAGCUGGGACUUGCUCAAACUGCAGCCUUCAUUAACGCUUCACUACGAAUCCCGUGCUCCACCGUAGGAUUGCUAAGACCCCCUAUAAUCUUGUCUUCUGCAUCAUUUGCUAUUGCGCGCCCCGUCGCCCAAAUCAACCUCGUCGCCAACUCCAACACCUCGCCAACGCUUGGUGCUGGAAAUUUUCUUGCUCGUCGAUUUCCAAUAUGUUGAGAAAAAAAACCCAUAAACCCUAGAUCCCCAAAUUGAUAUCUAAAAUAUGAACAAACAAAAAUCACAGCCCAACACGUCAAGAAGAUGUUCAGCUUGAAGAGAUUGGGGCUUUUGCAAUUGAAUUGAUCACUUCAAAAUGAUGUUUAGGUGUGCUUUAUCAACAACUAUUCCUAGUCUUCUCUAUAUCCUUAUCUGAACCUUGUCUCGAAAUUGACCAUAGUUAUCUAGCAUAACAUCUAAAAACAAAUUACUAACACAUCUUGAAGAGAUUGGGGCUUUUGCAACCGACACAAUAGAUGAUUGGAUUCCAUUGAAGAGAUUGGAGACGGUGGUUGGGAUUUUUGGAAGCAAAGAAAAGAAAAGGUCAAUGUCAGUGAAGAAGAGCAGUGAAUAGCUAUGAAAUUAAAAAAAAAAAAAGAGUUUUAACGAAAAGUCCGCGGUACUGUUCACUUUAACGAAAAAUCAUAUUUUUACACUAAAAAGUCAAACAUGAUACUAUUCACUUUACCCUUUAUUUUGUCCUUAUCAUUAAAACUCAAAGUUUUCAAGUCAUUUUCAUUAGUUUUCCUAUUAAAAAAAGCAACUUUAACGAAAAGCGCAUGGUACUAAAAAUCACAUUUUUACAUUAAAAAGUCAAUCUUGAUACUAUUUACUUUACUCUUUAUUUUUUCCUUAAAGCAACUCCAGCGUGCUCUUUAGCCCGAUGGACCGGCGAUUCCAAUCACCCAAUUGCCCCAACAAUUGGCUCCCUCCCAUGCAGGCAAUGGAGCUUGGGGGAGGCCCAGUGGAAAGGCCAGGCGGGAAUCCAUCGCCCGAGAGCUUGAUGGUUGUGUGAUGUGUGGCUAACCUUAGGGUGAUCCGGCUCGAAUUCGUCAAUUUUUCUUUAUCGGAAUCUGGAAAAAGAAUGGGAUACAUGCAGGGAAUUAAGCCCUCGAAUUAAACCACAAGAAUUGCAACACAACAGGAUUUAAAGCUCAAUAACACAAGAUAGUGAUAGAAACAUCACUUGGGUUCGAGAAUGAGAGCUCAAGCUCUCGGCUUCAAUGGUAGGACCUUGCACCAUGCACUGAUGCCACAUGCAAGGGCAUGGUUGGGUACCUUAAGUUCCAGGGAUUCCAAAAAUAUUAUUUUUGAGCUUGAUUUGUUGAAGGUUUGAAGAGGAAGGAGGAAGAGAGCUCACGUGAGUGAGCUGGAAAAGAGGGAGAGAAAGAAAGAAAAAGGAAGAGAGAGAUAUAAAGAAAAGAGAGGGAGAGAGGGAAAGAGGAAGAACCGGUCAAAUAAGGGAAAAAAGGGAAAGGGUGAUGGGGAUGUAUGAAUUGGAUGAGGAGAAAAUAUUAAUAUUUUAUUACUUAUUACCAUGGUUAUUCAAUUUAAGAGUGGAGAUGCAAAAAGUAGUUACAGUUCAUUAAAGACAAUUACUGUUCAUAUGGUGGAUUCAAUAGUGAGUUGCCCUAAAGGGCCUUUGCAACGCUGGAGUUGCUCUUAUCGUUCAAACUCAAAGUUUUCAAAUCUUUUUCAUUAGUUUUCUUAUAAAAAAAUGAAAUAAAAAAAUUAUAAAAGUGAAUAAAAAAUAACAAAAUAUCUAAUCUAUUACUUUAGUCCACUAUUGCAUCAAACACUUCACCAUUUUUAUCCUGCUUAGUCAAAGUCAAGCCAAUCCAGCUUAAUUCCUAAAACUAGUCUAGUUCAAUAUAGUCUGGUGCAACAAACGCACCCUAAGAGAACAAGACUGGUAAUAGGACAUUCUUACCAUAUGAAUCUCAAAUUUCAAACUUUGCAUGCAUAAGGCACGAAACAGUAUCAUCGAAACCAUAUUCUGUCCAAAUGCAGUCCAACAGUAAAAAUGAAUAACACUUGAAUUUAGAAUCACAACUAUGCCAAAAUUUACAUGAUACUGUAAUGCGCAAUUCCACAGCAAGUAUCAACGAAGGGAGGCACGUCCGUCGAUAAUUUGACUGACCCUAUCUACAUUCUUACAUGUGUACCAACUAUACAAAUCGAGCAUGGUAUGACACCAACAUACAUACGAUACGACGAGGGCUUUGGCAAUUGUUAUAAUGGGAUGAGUCUAAGCUUUUGAUUAAUAAUAAUGUACAACUUCACUAGCAUUGUGCUAUGUACAACGGAAUAUCACUUCCAAACCUUGAUUGCCCCAUCUCUACCGCUUGAUAUUAAGUGUCUCUGAUUUAGCUUAACCGAGGCCAACGCUAGGAUUGAAUCACGGUGGCAGCCAGCAGAAUCAGUGGCAGCAGCCGCAAGAACUGCCUUGGCUGUCAGCUUCGAUGUUAGAGGUCGUCUUUUCGUCUCCUGUAUUAAAACAAGAACCAAUUCAAGAAUAAAAAAAAAUUCUGGGUACCAGGUUACAAUGAUAAUAACUUUCUUCAACUUAGCAACUGAUCUAGUGUCCUAUUUGUUACGACGCAAAUACAGAGACCAGGGACACAAUAGAGCAGUGACCCGUGACAUUAAGUUGGAGCGGCUAAUAAAAGGUCGUACCCAGUGCACAAGGCUCCCGCUUUACGCAGGGUCUGGGAGAGGUGAAUGUCGGCUAGCCUUACCCCCAUUUAUGGAGCGGCUAAUAAAAGAAAAAAAAUAACAGAAAGCAAAUUCUAUUGCCUGAUUCCCCUCCCCAAAGAAUAUUCUAAACCCAUAGGUUCUUUGAAACUACCAACUCGUUUAGCUCUGGUUUUUAGGAGGAUAAAGUUAAAUAAAUAAAAGAAAAACUAGCUUCUGCAUGGAUAAUCUACAGAUCGACCUCAUCAGUCAUCAUACCCUUCCACCCAGGGAUAGUUUACUACCCCACCUAACUUCGUAGAUAUGUGACUAAUACAAUUGACUAAUCAUACCUGCACAACUUGCACGCCAAAGCUAGAUCUUGUUGCAUAGAAAUCAUCAUUUCCGACUCCCUUCAAGUUUGGUCCACAAAUAGAGUAACUUCGAUCGGGACUGCAAUAUAUGAAUAAGGCCAAUUAGAUAACAACACCCUUUAGUAAACCAAUAAAGUAAUAAUGAACUUGUGUACAAACCUGUAAUGAUCCCAUCGACGUAUCUUCAAGUCGGUUCCUCCAGUUAACAAAUCACCUCCAGGUAAGGGCAGCAAUGAACGGAUGCCAGGAAGACGAGGAGGGGGUUCGUUUAGUUCAUCAACUCUGUAGUGGGGAUUGACAUUCCGUCUCAGAUCUGGUUUGGAGCUUUUACUUGAUGACUUAGCCAAGGCCCAAGGAACUUCAGAUAUUUCAGCAUCACUUUCGUAAUUUGCCACUCUCAGCACCUGCAGGGAAAAAAAUGAAUAUCUCAGACAUUUGAACUUAUGAAGGUAGACCUAACAGAAAAGGGGGACUUGUGUACGCAAUGAAAAUUAAAUAAAAAGAAAAAAAGAACAAGCAUUUAAAAUGUUUGAUAAAACCCAAAGUCUGAACAAACCAUCCAACGGCCAAGAGACUUGAUAGUAGUCUAUACAAAUUUAACCUGUUUCUUAAUCAACAAAUUACAUGUCCAAAGUAAAAAUUUGUUUAAUGAAAUCUUAAGUACCCUUCUGUUUUUUGCAUUCUAUUGGUUACUUUAAAUGUGGCUUAUGCGAGCGAGGGAGAAGCAAGGGUCUCAUUCCAGGAGUCAUUAGGAGUCAGUAAAAUAAAAAUCUGGACUACAAGAAACUAAUAUACUACCAUUCAGCUAGUCUGAAGAAAAGAAGUAGAAAAUUUUGGUAAACCGCAGAGUAAAACCUGCAAUCCUUCAAUUUCAUACCAAAAGGGAAUGCAUGGAUGAAACCACAUACUGCCUCUCUUAAAUUCUGUCUCUAUAAAACAAGAUCUGGUUUUUGCUUUCAAAUUUCUUUAUUUUUAUUACUUUGAAUAAAGGGCAACCAGGGGAGUGCAAUCUAUGCGUACAAUUUUAUCAUCUAACUUUUCCAGCACCAUCCAUAUCUGAUAUCUAAGAAAACUUAUAGGAGAUGAUUUCUGUGUGUACCUGGUGACAGCUUCCAUUUUCAGCAUUCCAAAGAGAAACUUCGUUGGAACCUGCCGCAACAUAAAUAAGGGGCCUUGCAGCAGCAGACACAGAGGCAUUUGGUGGAGGAAGAAACAGGCACAUUUUCUCUAUAGGGCAAACAGAAGAAUACUGCCAUGAGUUUACAGGAAUAAGGAACCUCAUAUCCCAAAGAGUAAGCACACCCCUCGAAGAUCCUGACACAAACCAAUUUUCACAGGGGCCUGUUACCAGCGAAGACACAUAGCCCUCCUCAGGAGUUGCUCUCAAUGUCCAAGAAAUGGUAUUCAGCCUUACAUCCCAAAGAUGGAUCCCACAAUUUUGGGUGCUGUACAUAACCAUCUGAUUUGUGCCGUUAUCCGCUGAGAAAUUCAACAGGCUCAAUAUGGCACCUUCCUUGAUAUCCUUCUUCUUGAUAUCAGCAACACCUGAAUACUUUUCAACAACAUUACCAAGUCCCCUGGAGAUGUAAUCAACAGAAAACAUAUGUAUCAUGCCAUCACAUGCUCCUACCACGACUUGGGCAGACCCCCGGAGCAUUGCACUGCACAGUGCACGGCUUCCUUCUAGAUGAUAAGUCAACCUUGACCGAAAUGAUAUGUCCUUUUCCAACUUUCUUGAAUCCCACACCUUAACAGUGGAAUCAUCAGAUGCACUCACAAAAAAGCUAUGAUCAGUUGAAAUGGCUAUGUCAUUGACAGCAGACCGAUGUUCUUGCAGGUGAGCAACCAACACCCCACGAGGCCUCCAACCAGAGUCUGGAAUUGAUGAACUUCGUGAAGGAGACGGCAUUCCUGUUAGAUCACUAGCUGUGGAUGCAUCUUCCGCAGGAAUAGCACAUUUUGUAGUGCCAGAUAAUCCCAUAUCUUGAAGCUUGCUAUUACCAAAGGCUGUUUGAUCAUUAUCCCUACCAUCUGGCUCAUGUACUACUCUAUAGAACUGUUUGGAACCAUUGCCAAUGUUGAAUGAUCCUGACACAAACUUAGGUGCUGGAACAGAACUAGCCAAACUAAAUGAUUUAUUUACUGGAUCCAUCCAAGGCAUAGCUGAUGCACCAAUUCCUACAGAAUUCACUUGUGAAGAAGAAUCAGAUGUUGCAGGAGGACCUCCGACUGCUCGCUUGUCCAUGCUAAAGGAGUAUAAAGGUAUGCCAACAGAUGAUUUAUCGCACAUGAAGCUAUUCACAUAACUUCCCUGUGGCCACAUAAACCCUGAAAAUUGCAACUUUUCAGAGGACAAAGGAUCAUGAAUGUCAACUGUGCUAGAAGACCGUGUAAAGCUUCCCAUACUUCUCAACUUAGCCUCACCAUCAUCACAUUCAGUUAACUCUCCUUGUUGCAAGGCCUUUCCAGUAAGUUUAUGAUUUUCGGCACUUUGUUGCUUGUCUGGCCAGCUCCCUGUUGAACUCAGUUCCUCAACUCCUUUAUGAAGCAAGUCAACACUUUCCCAUUGUUUAGACUGAGGCCAAGAGUUGUACCAUAUCUUUCUCUGUCUUUCCAACAUGUCUGAACUCCUUGCAUUUUCUAGAACUUGGUAAAAAACCUGUCUUGAGACUGGAGGCUUUAAACACAAAAGGAGAGCCUUUUCAGAAGCAAGAGAUGCUGGCUGUCUGCGGAGUAGGGGGCGAAUAACAGGGGCUAGAAAGACAUAGGAAUCUACAGCACCUAAGCUGUCACUACUGGCUGCAAUGAAAGUGACAGCUGACCUUCUUACCCAUUGACUAGGAUAGCAUAACAAUGGAAAUGCAUGCUCAAUCAUUUCAAGAAGUAUCCUCUUCCGCAAGAAACUACUUUUGCACAAAAUGGCCAAACAGUCCAAUGCAUUGACAAUUACAGCCUCUGUUACAUCACUUACAGCCUGCUCAAUGUAAGGUAAUAGAUAUUCUUCCACACUUCUUUGACCCACAAAGAAGCACACAUAUACAAUUUGCCCAUAGAAUACUGCUCUCAGCUGCUCAUCUCGAUCAUUCAGAAAAGCAGGGAGAAUGGGUAACAAAAAGUCAUUACUCUGUCUCUGGCCAAAGAAGCAGCAUAGGUUGCUAAUGUCCUGAAGGAGUGCUCUCCUGAUAUUUGGAGUUUGCUUUGGACCCAUAACAAGUUCUUGAAUGACCUCAGCUAUAGACUUCCUCAACACAGCAAGUUGACCAGAUGUCUCACUAGAUGAUGCCAGCGGCUUUUUUGCAGAACUUAAUUCAUCAAGUACCCCAGCCUCACUCAAGCGCAUUGAGUGAACCAAGAAACCAUAAGCAGUUAGCGCCAGCUUAGCAAUAUUACUGGCAUAACAUAUCCUCACACUUUCUUCUGGAUCAUCCGGAAGCAUGGAAAGCAUUGGCAGAAUAUACUCCGGAAAAAUUUUUGCAUCACUGGGAGGAAAAUCUCGGACUAGAGGUAGUAUGUCACACAACGUCUCCAAGGCAGCACAACGCACAAUUGCAGCUGCAUCUGAAAGCAUUGCAACAACAUAUGGAAUUACACGUUGCAAACGAUCUUCAUCAUCAAUAUACAAGGCAGAGGAUUUCAGCAAAAGUAUGGCCCUCCUCCUUAAAUGAGGCAAUUUUACAUUACGUAUGCAUGAACAGAGCAACGAGGUAAUCAGAACCAUGCCCUCACAUCUGAUACUGUUUUCAGGUAAUGGCAGAAAUGGUGUGCCAAAGGUAUCUGAAUGGCUGUCAUACUUCGACAUCAAAGAAUUCAAAUCAUUCAAUGUAAUCUUUUUCAGGAAAGGAUGAUCGUUUCUCCUAAAUGCAUUAGAGAUAGAUUGAAGUAAUUCACCAGGAGAUUGCAUGCCAUAGUUGCCAAGAUUCGGGGAAAAUGCAGAAUCGGGAUUAUCGUUAACCAUUGGCUUGGUAGCAGAAUAAUUAUUACUUUGUUUAACAUCCCGAAGAAGGGUAUUGAUAUCACCGAGAAGUUCCAAUUGAUCACAUUUUAAGCCUUUACCCAUCUCUUCACUCUUUGUAAAUGAGCCCCUUGUCAAACCCUUGUUCUGCAUUACAACUGCUUCCUGAGAAGUUCUACCACUCAUGCCAUGGGCACUUGAAGGAGUUCCCGGUCCUGUUCCAGUGUCCUCAGUUGACCUACUGCUCAUCAUUUGUUUAAGUAUCUCAUGAAAAACACUCUGGCAAAGUGCAACCUACAUACAAUAAUGACAUGGUACAAUAUUACUUUAAUGUGAGUUCCAAAAAGUAUGAAGUGCGAAUCUUAAAUAUUCUGUACCAACAUUUCUUACCCUCAUAUCUGAAUGAAGGGGAUUCCAGAAACAAUGGAAAUUAUGCAGAAAUGGAGAGAAGUAACUUGGAAAAACAAUGGUUGUAUACUCCUGAAGGUAGCUAUCAGCAGAAUGUCGCAACUCUGGUUCCAACUGAAUCAUAUGAAGUAUCAUCUUGCGAAUCCCAGAAUCUGGUAUCUGCGUUCAUUGUGCAUAUAAAUUGAUAAGAUGGCCAACAAUAUUGACAGUGAACUUGAAGAAAGUGAAGAAAGCUUCCACCACACAUAGCAGUCAUUUACAGAGCCAUGUACAUCAGGUAGCCACAUUAAAACAACCAAGAUGCAAUACAACAAUAACCAAGGGUUGGCUAAAAUAUAAGGUUCAAGACUAGAGAAGUAACAUGAUAAAGAGUAAUUUAAUACAUUAUGGGAAGAGAUGUGAUGGAAACUCAAAAAGAAUUGUAUACUUAGUAUUGAGAAAGAGAGGGCGAGAGAGAGAGAGAGAGAGAGAGAGAGAGAGAGAGAGAGAGAGUACCUUUUCAAGAAGUUGGCUAGGAUCGUAUUGCCCUCUACGAUAAGCAAGAAGUUGAGAGAGUUCGAACAGUGGCUGUCCCUCAAGGAAAAGCUCAGCAAUUACACACCUAAAACAAUGUCGUGAAUAUGAUGAUGCAUCUCAAGAGAAAAUAAUAAUGGUCAUGAUUAGGCAUGAGCACAUUUUCAUUCGGGCUAAUCGCCCCCACUGUAACUUUGACAAUGUAUCAAUAAACUUGAAAUAUAUCAUUUUCAUCCUAUAUCUGAGAUUUCACUUCAAAUUUGACAUCAAAACGAAACAGUCAUGCUCUGAAAAGAGAGAUCCUAACGCAACAAAAGCUCACCCUACAGCAAAUAUGUCCAUAGAUGGCCUUAAUGGUGCAUCUUGUGCAACCUGCAUCUCACCUCCAUGCUCAUAAAAUCUCUGAAAAUGAAGGCGUAUGAAGAAAUUUAAUAAUGUAACAGUUUUAUUUAGGAAAGUAUAUAUCGUGACUGGUUAGUAACAGAAAUGUUGAGAACUUUCUUAAAAUUAGAAGUGAAACUUCUCAGCUGACUCCUAAUACAUUUUACUAUAAUUUGUACUACAUCGGGAUUUGUAUAACUGCUCAAAUUUUGUACCAGGAUAGCAGGCACAUUAUCAAUUUCACACACCCACUCCGAUCAAGCUGGAUCUUAUGACUGCAAGCUGUAUCCCUUUUAUGAACCUAUAUGUUCAUGUUGUACGCAUAUAAUUACAUAACCGCUUGCGACUUAAGAAGAAGUAAGAAAAUGGAUAAAGUGUGCACCUCCUCAGCAGAUAAAUGGAAAGAAAGUGAAUACAGAAGAGAGAUAGAAAAGUGAACCUCAGGAGCAAGAUAACAAAGCCUUCUUCCUCCCGUGUCAAAGAAAAAAGAGAAAUCAGAAGGAUCGUCAUAUGGUAUGUAGGUGGGUUUGAAGGAUGCAAAGUCAGCAAGGUAGAGCCAAUUCCAAGAAGUCACCAACACAUUCUCACACUUAAUAUCACCUAAGACGAAAAGAAAACCAACGUCAUUACUAAGACAUUGAAAAGACAUUGAAAAAAUAACGCUGGUGAAGUUUCUGAAUAAAACUGAACUGACCGUGACAUAUUCCUUUAUCAUGGCACUGCUUCAGAGCAAGAAGUAACUACACCAACAACC
RNAcentral lists this long non-coding RNA (34588 nucleotides) under Malus domestica (apple). RNAcentral's name for it is "long non-coding RNA (MDOM_LNC002163)". The record is from RNAcentral. Lineage: Eukaryota; Viridiplantae; Streptophyta; Magnoliopsida; Rosales; Rosaceae.